This 301-nucleotide ribosomal RNA is filed under the name uncultured bacterium. Its description in RNAcentral is "partial 16S ribosomal RNA". It matches the Rfam family "Bacterial small subunit ribosomal RNA", at positions 509 to 807 of the family's 1533-position model. The record is from RNAcentral.
CAGUAGCCGCGGGAAUACAGAGGGUGCGAGCGUUAAUCGGAUUUACUGGGUGUAAAGCGUGCGUAGGCGGCUAAUUGAGUCGGAUGUGAAAUCCCCGAGCUUAACUUGGGAAUUGCAUUCGAUACUGGUUAGCUAGAGUGUGGGAGAGGAUGGUAGAAUUCCAGGUGUAGCGGUGAAAUGCGUAGAGAUCUGGAGGAAUACCGAUGGCGAAGGCAGCCAUCUGGCCUAACACUGACGCUGAGGUACGAAAGCAUGGGGAGCAAACAGGAUUAGAUACCCCGGUAGUCCCUGUCUCUUAUAC